RNAcentral lists this ribosomal RNA (498 nucleotides) under Micrococcus sp. RNAcentral's name for it is "bacterial SSU rRNA". It matches the Rfam family "Bacterial small subunit ribosomal RNA", at positions 137 to 649 of the family's 1533-position model. The record is from RNAcentral. Lineage: Bacteria; Bacillati; Actinomycetota; Actinomycetes; Micrococcales; Micrococcaceae.
UCUGGGAUAAGCCUGGGAAACUGGGUCUAAUACCGGAUAGGAGCGUCCACCGCAUGGUGGGUGUUGGAAAGAUUUAUCGGUUUUGGAUGGACUCGCGGCCUAUCAGCUUGUUGGUGAGGUAAUGGCUCACCAAGGCGACGACGGGUAGCCGGCCUGAGAGGGUGACCGGCCACACUGGGACUGAGACACGGCCCAGACUCCUACGGGAGGCAGCAGUGGGGAAUAUUGCACAAUGGGCGCAAGCCUGAUGCAGCGACGCCGCGUGAGGGAUGACGGCCUUCGGGUUGUAAACCUCUUUCAGUAGGGAAGAAGCGAAAGUGACGGUACCUGCAGAAGAAUCACCGGCUAACUACGUGCCAGCAGCCGCGGUAAUACGUAGGGUGCGAGCGUUAUCCGGAAUUAUUGGGCGUAAAGAGCUCGUAGGCGGUUUGUCGCGUCUGUCGUGAAAGUCCGGGGCUUAACCCCGGAUCUGCGGUGGGUACGGGCAGACUAGAGUGC